GGGGACGCCACUGGCUGUGGAACCGUGUCUACGGAACUUGGUUUGCGAGUUCGAUUCUCGUCGUCUCCA
Molecule: transfer RNA, 69 nt
Filed under: Pseudomonadales bacterium
Lineage: Bacteria; Pseudomonadati; Pseudomonadota; Gammaproteobacteria; Pseudomonadales
Also listed under: 1 other name
Description: tRNA-Arg
Source: RNAcentral